This 293-nucleotide ribosomal RNA is filed under the name uncultured bacterium. Its description in RNAcentral is "partial 16S ribosomal RNA". It matches the Rfam family "Archaeal small subunit ribosomal RNA", at positions 455 to 747 of the family's 1478-position model. The record is from RNAcentral.
GUGCCAGCCGCCGCGGUAAUACCGGCAGCCCAAGUGAUGGCCGCUGUUAUUGGGCCUAAAGCGUCCGUAGCUGGCCGCACGAGUCCGUCGGGAAAUCCGCCCGCUCAACGGGCGGCCGUCCGGCGGAACCUGUGUGGCUUGGGACCGGGAGGCGCGACGGGUACGUCCGGGGUAGGAGUGAAAUCCCGUAAUCCUGGACGGACCGCCGAUGGCGAAAGCACGUCGCGAGAACGGGUCCGACAGUGAGGGACGAAAGCCAGGGUCUCGAACCGGAUUAGAAACCCCAGUAGUCC